Long non-coding RNA from Clarias gariepinus (North African catfish), 334 nucleotides. RefSeq lists it as uncharacterized. NCBI's taxonomy places the organism in Eukaryota, Metazoa, Chordata, Actinopteri, Siluriformes, Clariidae. The record is from RefSeq and is a predicted model, not a curated record. The transcript is spliced from 4 exons.
UUCACCCCCAGGUUGCGCUUCCAGAAGUUUGCUGCUGUGUGCAAGAGCCGGCAAGUUUAGCAUCUUUAUUGGAUCCGAGGGAACGGAUGAGCAGCUUAUUGGUGUCCAUAUGUACUUACCCUCUUUAAAGAGCUGUGCGCUUCGUGCUCGUGUACCACGGGAGACUAAUGGUACCGUUUAGUUGGAUUGGCUGCCAGAUAGAUGUGGUCUGCAUCGCGCAGACUAAGCGGUAUCUGCGGGUGAGGCAUGUUCUGCGUGGAAGGCAUUCCCAAAGGCAAGUUUGGGCUGAAAGGAUGGCACACGCUAUUUCGUCUCAGAGCUUUGGUCGAGACCU